CUACGGGGGGCACCAGUGGGGAAUAUUGGACAAUGGGGGAAACCCUGAUCCAGCAAUGCCGCGUGUGUGAAGAAGGCCUGCGGGUUGUAAAGCACUUUCGGUUGGGAGGACUGCUUCUAGCACUAAUAUUGUUGGAAGUUGACGUUACCUUCAGAAGAAGCACCGGCUAACUCCGUGCCAGCAGCCGCGGUAAUACGGAGGUGCAAGCGUUAAUCGGAAUUACUGGGCGCAAAGCGCGCGUAGGCGGCUAGAUCAGUCGGGUGUGAAAGCCCCGGGCUUAACCUGGGAACUGCAUCCGAUACUGUCUAGCUUGAGUACAGGAGAGGAGAGUGGAAUUCCACAUGUAGCGGUGAAAUGCGUAGAUAUGUGGAGGAACACCAAUGGCGAAGGCAGCUCUCUGGCCUGAUACUGACGCUGAGGUGCGAAAGCGUGGGGAGCAAACAGGAUUAGAUACCCGAGUAGUC
RNAcentral lists this ribosomal RNA (464 nucleotides) under uncultured bacterium. Its description in RNAcentral is "partial 16S ribosomal RNA". It matches the Rfam family "Bacterial small subunit ribosomal RNA", at positions 339 to 795 of the family's 1533-position model. The record is from RNAcentral.